GAUGAAGAACGCAGCGAAAUGCGAUAAGUAAUGUGAAUUGCAGAAUUCAGUGAAUCAUCGAAUCUUUGAACGCACAUUGCGCCCGCUAGUAUUCUAGCGGGCAUGCCUGUUCGAGCGUCAUUUCAACCAUCAAGCCCCAGGCUUGUGUUGGAGCCCUGCGACCAUCCGCAGCCUCCUAAAAUCAGUGGCGGGCUCGCUAUCACACCGAGUGCAGUAGUUUACUCUUCGCUCAGGACGUGUAGCGGGUUCCGGCCGUGAAACCCCCCAAUUUUCAAGGUUGACCUCGGAUCAGGUAGGAAUACCCGCUGAACUUAAGCAUAUCAAUAAGCGGAGGA
This 335-nucleotide unclassified non-coding RNA is filed under the name soil metagenome. Its description in RNAcentral is "partial contains 5.8S ribosomal RNA, internal transcribed spacer 2, and large subunit ribosomal RNA". The stretch from base 1 to 120 matches the Rfam family "5.8S ribosomal RNA", at positions 35 to 154 of the family's 154-position model. The record is from RNAcentral.